Molecule: ribosomal RNA, 1131 nt
Filed under: human gut metagenome
Description: bacterial LSU rRNA
Rfam family: Bacterial large subunit ribosomal RNA
Source: RNAcentral
GGGAGCUAAGGUGAGGCCGAAAGGCGUAGCCGAUGCACAGACGGUAGAGAUUCCGUCACCACCAAAAGAGUUAAGCACAGGGACACAUUUGAAGUCUCGGAGCCGGGUGUUGGUUCCGGUAGCGAUCGAGGGAAAUUAGUACCGAAGUCCGGGAUGGAAGAUGGCGAGAAAAGCUGUGUGUAUUUCUGCGGUGCCCGUACCGCAAACCGACACAGGUAGGUAGGAAGAAGAUUCUAAGGCCAACGGGAGAAGGGUUGUUAAGGAACUCGGCAAAUUGACCCCGUAACUUCGGGAGAAGGGGUGCUCCAGAGAUGGAGCCGCAGAGAAUCGGCCCAAGCAACUGUUUACCAAAAACACAGGUUUGUGCUAAAUCGAAAGAUGACGUAUACGAGCUGACGCCUGCCCGGUGCUGGAAGGUUAAGAGGAGAUGUGCAAGCAUUGAAUCGAAGCCCCAGUGAACGGCGGCCGUAACUAUAACGGUCCUAAGGUAGCGAAAUUCCUUGUCAGGUAAGUUCUGACCCGCACGAAAGGCGUAAUGAUUUGGGCACUGUCUCAACAGCCCGCCCGGCGAAAUUGUAGUACCGGUGAAGAUGCCGGUUACCCGCGACAAGACGGAAAGACCCCAUGGAGCUUUACUGUAGCCUAAUAUUGGGUUUCGAUGUUGCAUGCACAGGAUAGAUGGGACACUGGGAAACAAUCGCUUUGGCGGUUGCGGAGUGGCCGUUGGGAUACCAUCCUUGCGAUAUUGGAAUUCUAACCUGCGGCUCUGAAUCGAGUCGGGGGACAUUGUUAGGUGGGCAGUUUGACUGGGGCGGUCGCCUCCUAAAGAGUAACGGAGGCGUUCAAAGGUUCGCUCAGCUUGAACGGAAAUCAAGCAAAAGAGUGCAAACGCAGAAGCGAGCCUAACUGCGAGACUGACGGGUCGAGCAGUAACGAAAGUUGGAGUUAGUGAUCCGGUGGUAUGUGAGUGGAAAUGCCAUCGCUCAACGGAUAAAAGCUACCCUGGGGAUAACAGGCUGAUCUCCCCCAAGAGUCCACAUCGACGGGGAGGUUUGGCACCUCGAUGUCGGCUCAUCGCAUCCUGGGGCUGUAUUCGGUCCCAAGGGUUUGGCUGUUCGCCAAUUAAAGCGG